RNAcentral lists this ribosomal RNA (520 nucleotides) under uncultured Ambispora. RNAcentral's name for it is "SSU rRNA". It matches the Rfam family "Eukaryotic small subunit ribosomal RNA", at positions 569 to 1091 of the family's 1831-position model. Lineage: Eukaryota; Fungi; Glomeromycota; Glomeromycetes; Archaeosporales; Ambisporaceae. The record is from RNAcentral.
AGCAGCCGCGGUAAUUCCAGCUCCAAUAGCGUAUAUUAAAGUUGUUGCAGUUAAAAAGCUCGUAGUUGAAUUUUGGGUCUGGGCGGGCGGUCCACCUUCCGGUGAGCACUGUUCCGACGCCGGGCCUAUCCUUCUGGUGAGUCGGCAUGCCCUUCGCCGUGUGUGUCGGGGAACCAGGACCAUUACCUUGAAAAAUUAGAGUGUUCAAAGCAGGCAUUUGCUCGAAUACAUUAGCAUGGAAUAAUGAAAUAGGACGCGUGGUACUAUUUUGUUGGUUUCUAGGACCGCCGUAAUGAUUAAUAGGGAUAGUUUGGGGCAUUAGUAUUCAAUUGUCAGAGGUGAAAUUCUUGGAUUUAUUGAAGACUAACUUCUGCGAAAGCAUUUGCCAAGGAUGUUUUCAUUAAUCAAGAACGAAAGUUAGGGGAUCGAAGACGAUCAGAUACCGUCGUAGUCUUAACCAUAAACUAUGCCGACUAGGAAUCGGGCGAUGUUAUUUUAACGACUUCGCCCGGCGCCUUAU